Molecule: ribosomal RNA, 402 nt
Filed under: uncultured bacterium
Lineage: Bacteria
Description: bacterial SSU rRNA
Rfam family: Bacterial small subunit ribosomal RNA
Source: RNAcentral
GAGUUUGAUCUUGGCUCAGGACGAACGCUGGCGGCGCGCUUAACACAUGCAAGUCGAGCGAGAACCAGGGCUUCGGCUCUGGGGAAAGCGGCGAACGGGUGAGUAACACGUGAGUCAUCCACCCUCGGUACCGGGAUAGCCCGGGGAAACCCGGAUUAAUACCGGAUGGCCCAACAGCUCUUCGGGGCGGUUGGAAAAGGUAGCUUUGGCCUCCGACCGAGGACGAGCUCGCGGCGGAUUAGCUUGUUGGCGGGGUAACGGCCCACCAAGGCGACGAUCCGUAGCUGGUCUGAGAGGACGAUCAGCCACACUGGGACUGAGACACGGCCCAGACUCCUACGGGAGGCAGCAGUGGGGAAUCUUGCGCAAUGGGCGAAAGCCUGACGCAGCGACGCCGCGUGC